UGCAAGUCGAGCGGAAGGCCCCUUCGGGGGUACUCGAGCGGCGAACGGGUGAGUAACACGUGAGCAACCUGCCCCUGACUUCGGGAUAAGCCUGGGAAACCGGGUCUAAUACCGGAUAUGACGCGUCAUCGCAUGGUGUGCGUGUGGAAAGUUUUUCGGUUGGGGAUGGGCUCGCGGCCUAUCAGCUUGUUGGUGGGGUGAUGGCCUACCAAGGCGACGACGGGUAACCGGCCUGAGAGGGCGACCGGUCACACUGGGACUGAGACACGGCCCAGACUCCUACGGGAGGCAGCAGUGGGGAAUAUUGCGCAAUGGGCGGAAGCCUGACGCAGCGACGCCGCGUGGGGGAUGACGGCCUUCGGGUUGUAAACCUCUUUCAGCAUCGACGAAGCCUUCGGGUGACGGUAGGUGCAGAAGAAGCGCCGGCUAACUACGUGCCAGCAGCCGCGGUAAUACGUAGGGCGCAAGCGUUGUCCGGAAUUAUUGGGCGUAAAGAGCUCGUAGGCGGUUUGUCGCGUCUGUCGUGAAAGCCCACGGCUUAACUGUGGGUCUGCGGUGGAUACGGGCAGGCUAGAGGCAGGUAGGGGAGAACGGAAUUCCCGGUGUAGCGGUGAAAUGCGCAGAUAUCGGGAGGAACACCGGUGGCGAAGGCGGUUCUCUGGGCCUGUACUGACGCUGAGGAGCGAAAGCGUGGGGAGCGAACAGGAUUAGAUACCCUGGUAGUCCACGCCGUAAACGUUGGGCGCUAGGUGUGGGGUUCUUCCACGGAUUCCGCGCCGUAGCUAACGCAUUAAGCGCCCCGCCUGGGGAGUACGGCCGCUAGGCUAAAACUCAAAGGAAUUGAC
RNAcentral lists this ribosomal RNA (845 nucleotides) under Actinomadura sp. RNAcentral describes it as "bacterial SSU rRNA". It matches the Rfam family "Bacterial small subunit ribosomal RNA", at positions 56 to 914 of the family's 1533-position model. The record is from RNAcentral. Lineage: Bacteria; Bacillati; Actinomycetota; Actinomycetes; Streptosporangiales; Thermomonosporaceae.